Molecule: long non-coding RNA, 229 nt
Filed under: Elaeis guineensis (African oil palm)
Lineage: Eukaryota; Viridiplantae; Streptophyta; Magnoliopsida; Arecales; Arecaceae
Description: long non-coding RNA (EGUI_LNC061274)
Source: RNAcentral
AUGGCAUGUAGAGGUGCCACUGUGAUGUCCCAAGAAAAAAAACCAUAAAUAGAGUAUUUUAUAUUCAUGCAUUUGAUAUGUUAUGAUAUAACCAUAUUGUAUGAUUAUGAUUUCAUAUCUUAGAGAUAUGAUUAGAUGCUAUUAUUAGUUGUGAUGAUUGUUAAGAUACUACUAUAAUAGAGCAUCAUUAUGAUUGAUUAAAUUAGGAAAGGCAUGAGACCAUUAAAAU